Molecule: non-coding RNA, 667 nt
Organism: Penaeus vannamei (Pacific white shrimp)
Lineage: Eukaryota; Metazoa; Arthropoda; Malacostraca; Decapoda; Penaeidae
Source: RefSeq, a predicted model, not a curated record
UUGUGAGUGCCAUUACUUACAUCUUGCAUAAUGAAAUCGAUAUAAUAUAAUGUUUCUUUCAUUGGAUAAGGAAAUCCUAAAAACUUGUGUAGUAGAAAUAGGUUAGUAGAAAUAGGCCUAUCUGCCGUCAUAGUAAAUCGAUAUGCAGUAACUAUUUCAAUUGCCGUUGACACCAUUUACUAUUUUUCUGAAUCUUAAUUUGUAAUGCUGAUACAGACUUUACAUAAUGUAUUUAUUUUUUUAUAUUAAUAUUUCGUUUUUCAUAGUAUUGAAAUGGAUCUUCCCUGCCAUAGGCUGGCCAUUUUCAAAAAAAAAAUAAUUGUGCAUAUAUAUUACAUAUGAACGUAUUUAUUUUAGUGUAUUUUGACAUUUUUUAGGUGUGCUAAAUGGCUUGAAGUUAUUCAGUUACCAAGUUUAUUCAAGAAGAGUUAUGCACAUCACAACAAAAGCUACAGGGUAUGCAGUUUCCACUUUUCAUCCGGAAAUUAUACUAAUGGAAACUCAGAUUCUAGACUUCUCCAUGCUUGCCCAGACCAAAACCUUAGCUACUGCAAACGUGCAAGCCAAGGGUCUGAAACUCUCUCUUUCUCAGAAAAUAUAGACAUUGAUUUUGGAAAGAUGCUUUAUGUAUUUACAUAUUAUUUGUGUAAAUAAAAGAAAAGGAUCA